UACGGGGGGGGCAAGCGUUGUUCGGAAUUACUGGGCGUAAAGGGCUCGUAGGUGGCCAACUAAGUCAGACGUGAAAUCCCUCAGCUUAACUGGGGAACUGCGUCUGAUACUGGAUGGCUCGAGUUUGGGAGAGGGAUGCGGAAUUCCAGGUGUAGCGGUGAAAUGCGUAGAUAUCUGGAGGAACACCGGUGGCGAAGGCGGCAUCCUGGACCAACACUGACACUGAGGAGCGAAAGCCAGGGGAGCAAACGGG
RNAcentral lists this ribosomal RNA (253 nucleotides) under uncultured bacterium. Its description in RNAcentral is "partial 16S ribosomal RNA". It matches the Rfam family "Bacterial small subunit ribosomal RNA", at positions 524 to 776 of the family's 1533-position model. The record is from RNAcentral.